AGAGUUUGAUCCUGGCUCAGAUUGAACGCUGGCGGAAUGCUUUACACAUGCAAGUCGAACGGCAGCACGGGGGCUUGCUCCUGGUGGCGAGUGGCGAACGGGUGAGUAAUACAUCGGAACGUACCCUGAAGUGGGGGAUAACGUAGCGAAAGUUACGCUAAUACCGCAUAUUCUGUGAGCAGGAAAGAGGGGGGAUCGCAAGACCUCUUGCUUUAGGAGCGGCCGAUGUCGGAUUAGCUAGUUGGUGGGGUAAAGGCCCACCAAGGCGACGAUCCGUAGCGGGUCUGAGAGGAUGAUCCGCCACACUGGAACUGAGACACGGUCCAGACUCCUACGGGAGGCAGCAGUGGGGAAUUUUGGACAAUGGGCGCAAGCCUGAUCCAGCCAUGCCGCGUGAGUGAAGAAGGCCUUCGGGUUGUAAAGCUCUUUCGGUGGGGAAGAAAUUGCUUGGGUUAAUACCCUGAGUAGAUGACGGUACCCGCAUAAGAAGCACCGGCUAACUACGUG
This 507-nucleotide ribosomal RNA is filed under the name uncultured bacterium. RNAcentral describes it as "bacterial SSU rRNA". It matches the Rfam family "Bacterial small subunit ribosomal RNA", at positions 8 to 507 of the family's 1533-position model. The record is from RNAcentral.